GGAUUGUGGCUCAGCGGUAGAGUGCUCCCUUGGCACGGGUGGGCCCCGGGUUUGAUCCUCAGCACCA
This 67-nucleotide transfer RNA is filed under the name Marmota monax (woodchuck). Its description in RNAcentral is "tRNA.Ala". The record is from RNAcentral. Lineage: Eukaryota; Metazoa; Chordata; Mammalia; Rodentia; Sciuridae.